This 459-nucleotide ribosomal RNA is filed under the name uncultured bacterium. Its description in RNAcentral is "partial 16S ribosomal RNA". It matches the Rfam family "Bacterial small subunit ribosomal RNA", at positions 338 to 795 of the family's 1533-position model. The record is from RNAcentral.
CCUACGGGAGGCAGCAGUGAGGAAUAUUGGUCAAUGGACGGGAGCCUGAACCAGCCAAGCCGCGUGAAGGAUGAAGGCCCUCUGUAUUGUAAACUUCUUCUGUCAGGGAAUAAAGGGGGGCACUAGUCCCUUUUUGCAUGUACUUUAUGCAAAAGCAUCGGCUAACUCGGUGCCAGCAGCCGCGGUAAUACGGAGGAUGCGAGCGUUAUCCGGAUUGAUUGGGUUGAACGUGUGCGCAGGCGGCCUGUUAAGUCAGCGGUAAAAGCCCGGGGCUCAACCCCGGCGAGCCGUUGAAACUGGCGGGCUGGAGUUGGAGAGAAGGACGCGGAAUGCGAGGUGUAGCGGUGAAAUGCUUAGAUAUCGCGCAGAACCCCGAUUGCGAAGGCAGCGUACCGGCUCCACACUGACGCUGAGGCACGAAAGCGUGGGUAUCGAACAGGAUUAGAUACCCGAGUAGUC